Molecule: ribosomal RNA, 293 nt
Filed under: uncultured bacterium
Lineage: Bacteria
Description: partial 16S ribosomal RNA
Rfam family: Archaeal small subunit ribosomal RNA
Source: RNAcentral
GUGCCAGCCGCCGCGCUAAUACCGGCAGCACGAGUGAUGGCCGAUCUUAUUGGGCCUAAAGCGUCCGUAGCCGGCCGGACAAGUCCGUUGGGAAAUCGACGCGCCUAACGCGUCGGCGUCCAGCGGAAACUGGCCGGCUUGGAACCGGAAGGCUCAGAGAGUACGUCCGGGGUAGGAGUGAAAUCCCGUAAUCCUGGACGGACCGCCGGUGGCGAAAGCGCCUCGGGAAGACGGACCCGACAGUGAGGGACGAAAGCCAGGGUCUCCAACCGGAUUAGAAACCCUUGUAGUCC